GCUUCCGCUGAUACUAGCUCUGCGCCGCUGCGGCCCUAGGGGCUUUUUCGAGGGGACCCAAGGGGAAGAGCGAAUCCCGCCGUCGCCAGCCUAGGUCGGAUCCUCAUCAGAUGCUGGACGUUGGAGGAGGCACCGGGUUGUGGGGCGCCACAGGAGGAUUGAACCCCCAGGCUACACCGAAGACUUGGAUGUAUCUCCGGCCAAGCCAUUGCGCAUCUGCAAAAGGGAGAAAAGCCUGCUGCUCAGGAAUAUUCCAGUCGAUGUGAGAAGAAAGGGAUUGGACCCUUAGCUGUCUGGCUGCAACUCACCUGCUGUGCCCUCAGCUUUUUCUGGUGUGCAGAUAGAGGGUGGGACUGGCAUUGCCUGGGACAGUCCCUAACCUGGGAAAGCCUUCGAUGAUAUCACACCUGCACACCUCCGCAAGGAACCCGGUGGAGAGGAUGAGUGAAAUAGCCUGUGGGCAGCAGAGCCUGGAAGAACAGAGAAAGACAAGCCUGUGCAGCCUUGGACUGUUUUGCCCUAAACAAGAAGAAAUCUACAAGGAAAGGAAGAAAUGUAGGAGAGAGUCCAGAUUCCAGUGAGACUCGGGCCUGACUCUAACCAGCUCAUGGCCUGGAAACUUUCCUCCCUUCCACAUUUUCUUGUCCAGGGUAAGCACAGGUGCAGAGGAAAAUGACCAUCCCUGGUCACACACAGUGGCUCACGCUUGUAAUCUCAGCACUUUGGGAGACUGAAGCAGGAGGAUCGCUUGAGCCC
Molecule: long non-coding RNA, 756 nt
Organism: Chlorocebus sabaeus (green monkey)
Lineage: Eukaryota; Metazoa; Chordata; Mammalia; Primates; Cercopithecidae
Source: RefSeq, a predicted model, not a curated record